Long non-coding RNA from Peromyscus californicus insignis, 295 nucleotides. RefSeq lists it as uncharacterized. The record is from RefSeq and is a predicted model, not a curated record. NCBI's taxonomy places the organism in Eukaryota, Metazoa, Chordata, Mammalia, Rodentia, Cricetidae. The transcript is spliced from 3 exons.
CCAGGUUAAGCACAGCCUUGCUGGUGUCAUCACUGUUACCAUCACCCUGUGCUCCUGGGUCCAGCUUUUGGAUACCUACAAAGAAUCCUUAAGCAGGCAGGGACCGAGACUGCUACGACUCCGGGCUGAGAUGCUGAACAGUGGCUUUGGGGACACAGGCCUGGAGACAGGGCAAGCAGGAAUCAGGCUGUCACAGCUGUGAACUGGGUCUCCGUGAAAACAAAGGACUUGAAGUUUUCCUGGGCAUAGCGGGCGCUGUCCUUGCGUGGGUCCAUGAAGACCACAUGGAAACGGG